UGGGACCUGUAUCAUCGUUGAAGUGGCUUGGCUAUGAAUGCAAAGAUGAAAUCACAGUAAGUGACACUGAGACCAAGGACAGUGAGAGUGAUUCUGAUGCCACUGGCACAGCAUUCCCAGAGUGUGAAACUAGUGAGGCUGUGGACGCUGCAACAGGCUCUACAGCCACGGAGCAGGUCCAUCAUGCUGCAGAUUUUGAAGCAGUGUCAUCAGUGACCUCCACCGUGAAUGAGACUGUCCCUCUCUCUGAAGG
This is a long non-coding RNA of Scomber japonicus (chub mackerel), 253 nucleotides long. RefSeq lists it as uncharacterized. The record is from RefSeq and is a predicted model, not a curated record. NCBI's taxonomy places the organism in Eukaryota, Metazoa, Chordata, Actinopteri, Scombriformes, Scombridae. The transcript has 3 exons.